Molecule: non-coding RNA, 101 nt
Organism: Acanthosepion pharaonis
Lineage: Eukaryota; Metazoa; Mollusca; Cephalopoda; Sepiida; Sepiidae
Source: the annotation of a GenBank genome assembly
UUGUUGAAACACCGGUUCUCGUACGAUCACCAAAGUUAAGCAACGUCGAGCCUCAUCAGUACCAAGAUGGGUGACCGCUUGAGGAUACUGAGUGCUGUAUG